GAUGUCAUCAUGCCCCUUGUUGAUCACACACUCAGGACCCCAGACAGGCAGAUGAAUGUAUAAUUCUCACACCCGACUGCUAAAUAAUAAUUUCAUCAUUUUUCGACAAUAUGAGGAUUGUCGUCUUUACAUAUGUAAACUAAUUGGUCUUGUUGUAGCCGAUGGCGAGGCACAUUCAAAUUUCAAUUGUUAAUUUUAAAGUUUAUCAUCUUUGCAAACACAGACUGAUACUAAAAGAUUUGUAUGGUGUAACAAAAUCAAUGACAUCAGGUUACUUAUAACUUACCUCUGUAGCCCUAGAUAGUCAAUAGACUGAAAUAUCUAACUGACGGUGGCUGUAGAGAGCAAAGCUUGUUAAAGUUUUCAAUUUUUAAUGAUGACAAGUCCAUAGUUCUUCACAAUAACAAAUCCAUCAGAAAUAAACUAAGAAAAAUGGCACAGUUUGGAGAAAAUGAUGGAUUUUACAGUGCUAGUUAUGAUCAGCCAAUUCCUGGAUAUGAAAUGGGACAAACUAACUUUGGACAAGAUCCACAAUUUGGUCAGUUUGACUAUAAUCAAGGAUAUCCACCAAGUGGCAGUGCUCAAUAUAGUGGAUCAAUCUUUACACCACAAGCAGCACCUGUCUACACAGCUCCACCUGGUGGACCAGAAGAUUAUGAAAAUGAACCACCUCUGAUGGAAGAACUGGGAAUAAAUUUUGAUCAUAUUCUUCAAAAGACUAUGACUGUUUUAAAUCCGUUAAAAUCAGCUGAUCAUACCAUCAUGCAAGAUACCGAUUUAGCUGGUCCUCUAGUAUUCUGUUUAGCUUUUGGUGCAUCUCU
Molecule: long non-coding RNA, 821 nt
Organism: Patella vulgata (common limpet)
Lineage: Eukaryota; Metazoa; Mollusca; Gastropoda; Patellidae
Exons: 5
Source: RefSeq, a predicted model, not a curated record